GAUCGUCAUUUGUUUUCCAGGAGGGUCUUAACACCGUGACAAGAACGUUUUACCGCCAGUCUUUUUCCUUCCCCCCUUUUUUUUCUAAACUACCGCUCACGCAAAGACGAACGACUUUGAACGGCUAUUGAAAUGAGAGGAACAACCGAUCUAUAAAAGAGAAAGGAAUGUAGAAUUUUUCCUUUUUCUUAUCUUCUUUUUUCUUCCGGCAUACGAUAUCGUUUGCUGUAAAGGGCAAAAAAAAAAUUGAAUCUAUCUAUUGUUCUCACGAAAAAGAGCGACCGACGCCUGCGACAAUGACCUGUCAUGGCCGCCAUUAUUUCGGCGCUGGGGCUAUCUAAUAUGGUAGUUACUUACAUUGCAGAGAGCGAGAUAGGAGAGGGGAAAAAAACAUCCAUUCUUCUAAUAAUAGUAAUAAAAUGAUAUCCCAGCACAGCCAGAUCGUAAAUUCUUUUUGCCUGUCUUGUCGUUAUAGAUCCCUAUAUAUCUAGUGGAGUUACACAUAUACCUAUAUCCUCUUGGUAGAUUUGAUAUCGUGAGUCUUUUGCAUAGGAGGGGCUCUAAAAAAACGAUGAAUAUCAAUAAUUCAGUUGUUCUUUUUCUUAUAUAAUAAUUUUUAAAAAUUUUAUAGCUAGCAAGUAUAUUGUAAAAUGAGAUGUGGAGAAUAUGAGGUGGUGAAAGUUGUAUCGAUUUAACAUCGAGCCGAGUAGACAAAUUGAAUUUUUCUCCAACUGCAUUAAAAUGAAAAUUGUCAAAUUUGAUUGUCCAGUCGAGCUUUAGUAGCGUUUCCUGUUAGCCCCGCGUUGUGUAGAAAGGAUGGACGAAGAUGACGGUUUGCAAACCGGAAUGAUUUCACGAUUCAAUGGCGGAUGGGGGAAAAAAUCGAUUCUGUUGAAUAAAUGAUCCACUGGAGAAAAAAAAAACUUAUAUUUUUUUUUUUGCAAAAUAAAAACCUGAAUUUCAUCUGUUUUCUUUUUUCCCGGAGUAGAAACUACAAUGACAAUAGAGGAGCAAAAGAGUUCUCGAGGAAGUGCGGGUAAAGUUGAUGUCUCGUACAGCAUAUUCCAAGAGCUGUCGUCCAAUCGAAUGCCAUAUUUCAUUCGCAUCGCCUUCGAUUUUCUCCUUACUUUGCCCAAGUUUGUACCAAAGUCAAACAGACCCCACCGCCACCAUUUUUUAUUCCUCCCAUGUUUAUGUAGCGAACGAAAAUGCCACAAUCAUGCACCAGAGAAACAUUCAGUAUGUUUUGUUUGUUUUGUUUUUUUAACUUUUUUCUCUCGUUUUAUUUCUUCACCUGAGGCCAUCGUCGCGCAUUUGCUGAUUUCUUCCAGCUGCUACCGCAGUUUCGAAGCGUGUCAUUAUUUCUACGACAGUUGCGAAGCGAUUCACGAGCCGCCAAAAACAGCCAAAAAGAAAAAAAAAAUUAUAAUAAAUAAAUCCAUAAAGCUAUUUUCUAUGUAGAAAAAGGAAGGGCUCACUUAAUCAUACGUAUAUGCAUUAAGUCGACAUAGAAUAUAAAUAUACUGAUGUAUAUAGGCCCCAUCGGAGUUGCUCGCUCAUCCGCGCAAGACGACACGCGUGGAAGGCGACGGGAUGCGAAGUGGAAAGAAAAGCUGUUGGUUUUUCUCGGUCCCUCUUCAAAAAUCAUGAAAAUAUGUACCUACUUUUUUCUUUAAAAAAAAAAAAUCGGAUGUUCAGACCGCGAAAAGCUUAUUGCUGGUGUACUCAAGUCGUUUUAUUUAUUUAUCCUUUGUUGUUUUCAUAUCCCUUCGACUGGCAUCCAAUUUUUAUGCGGUACGUCUCUACCCUUGAAUGCGGAAUACGUAGCGCGUUUACUUUACGGCCUCUCUCGGCGUUGAUGUUUCUAAAACGCCAACAAACCUUUCCCAAUGCCGGGUCGUGGAGAUAUCACCGACAACGUGUAGCGCUAGUGCGGAAGAAUAUCCAUUAUUGGUUCACAGUUAGGCCGGCCGUUGCCAGUGUUUCUCUUGGAUUGUUCAGAUCUUUUUUAUUUCGGAAAAUUCUGGCCACCAGAUGUCUUUGUUCCAGGUGACGGUAAGAAAUAGUCUUGCUGCAUGGGGUAUGGUAACCUAAAUAGAAAAAAGGUUCUACAAAUCUCUAAAAGUGCAGGUAGGGUACGAUAAAGGAAAUAGCUUGCCAUACCUCUAAUUUAUCUACGUUGCCGCACUCACUCCUUUUUUAUUCGACGUUCAGUUUCGCUAGUCACACAGUCACAACAACAUUCUUCACUCGUCUUUCAUCGACGUGAACGAAACCAGUCUUAUUCCAUGAAUGUCAUUUCAACUGUUCAUCUGAGAGUGACACGUGUGUAACGAAAUCUGCCCACGCCUUGCAGUCGAAAAAAAUGUGUGAAAGGAAUAAGUGAAGGAAGAACUGGCUGGAGAAAAGGUCGCAAUAAAAAGACGAGACUUGAUGGGAGGUGGGGACCAGUUUUCAUAUGCUAUUUGGAAAAACAGAAAAUGUUCAUCGUUAGAAAAAAGCGAUUACCGAUGUUCAAAACAGACAGUGAAGAUAACCAAAAUGGAAGUGAAAGGCCAAAGAGUUCACGUUUCAGUAAUUGAGUACAAUUUGAAUUGCGGGACCCGGCGGCACAUGAAAAGCAGGAACCAAAAUAAAACAACGAAUAUACGUAUACACCAUUUGAAAUGUGGCUGAAAGGGAAAAGAGAACAAGCAGAAAAAUAAAUAUUUUCAACUGGCAAGUGCACUAUACUAGGAUGCACUUUCUGUUCCUCGUUGCCCUUAAGGUUGUAUGUGGCGCAGAUAGAUCAACAAUCGUCCUCUUCUUUCGUAUUUCUGCCAUCUCGAGUCUGUGUUGUUACGUAGCCUCUAGGCAGCUGCUUGUCAUUAUAUAAGAUGUCAAUAAUAUCUAUCUGUAUCUAUAUCAGUUUGUUUUUCCAACAUCCUGUUCUCUUCUUGUGGUACUAGUUUUCUUCUUUCCUGUUUUUUUCUUCUUGCAUCAACACAGCGACAGAGAGCGUAAAAGGAUUUGGUCGCCUACGAUCCCCGUUUGCUCUAUUUGGUCUUCCUCAUAGACCAUUCAAAAUGUAUAGUGGUUUAUCUUGUUUGCAUCGUUUUUUUCUUCUGUGUCUCUCAGACUGAAAAAAAAUAAAUAAAAAUGGAACGCACA
Long non-coding RNA from Daphnia magna, 3150 nucleotides. RefSeq lists it as uncharacterized. The record is from RefSeq and is a predicted model, not a curated record. Lineage: Eukaryota; Metazoa; Arthropoda; Branchiopoda; Diplostraca; Daphniidae. The transcript is spliced from 3 exons.